GACGAACGCUGGCGGCGUGCUUAACACAUGCAAGUCGAACGGAAAGGCCCUGCUUUUGUGGGGUGCUCGAGUGGCGAACGGGUGAGUAACACGUGAGUAACCUGCCCUUGACUUUGGGAUAACUUCAGGAAACUGGGGCUAAUACCGGAUAGGAGCUCCUGCUGCAUGGUGGGGGUUGGAAAGUUUCGGCGGGUGGGGAUGGACUCGCGGCUUAUCAGCUUGUUGGUGGGGGAGUGGCUUACCAAGGCUUUGACGGGUAGCCGGCCUGAGAGGGUGACCGGCCACCUUGGGACUGCGAGACGGCCCAGACUCCUACGGUAGGCAGCAGUGGGGAAUAUUGCACAAUGGGCGCAAGCCUGAUGCAGCAACGCCGCGUGCGGGAUGACGGCCUUCGGGUUGUAAACCGCUUUCGCCUGUGACGAAGCGUGAGUGACGGUAAUGGGUAAAGAAGCACCGGCUAACUACGUG
This 468-nucleotide ribosomal RNA is filed under the name uncultured bacterium. RNAcentral's name for it is "partial 16S ribosomal RNA". It matches the Rfam family "Bacterial small subunit ribosomal RNA", at positions 28 to 507 of the family's 1533-position model. The record is from RNAcentral.